RNAcentral lists this ribosomal RNA (446 nucleotides) under uncultured bacterium. RNAcentral describes it as "partial 16S ribosomal RNA". It matches the Rfam family "Bacterial small subunit ribosomal RNA", at positions 338 to 795 of the family's 1533-position model. The record is from RNAcentral.
CCUACGGGGGGCUGCAGUCGAGAAUCAUUCACAAUGGGGGAAACCCUGAUGGUGCGACGCCGCGUGGGGGAAUGAAGGUCUUCGGAUUGUAAACCCCUGUCAUGUGGGAGCAAAUUAAAAAGAUAGUACCACAAGAGGAAGAGACGGCUAACUCUGUGCCAGCAGCCGCGGUAAUACAGAGGUCUCAAGCGUUGUUCGGAAUCACUGGGCGUAAGGCGUGCGUAGGCUGUUUCGUAAGUCGUGUGUGAAAGGCGCGGGCUCAACCCGCGGACGGCACAUGAUACUGCGAGACUAGAGUAAUGGAGGGGGAACCGGAAUCCUCGGUGUAGCAGUGAAAUGCGUAGAUAUCGAGAGGAACACUCGUGGCGAAGGCGGGUUCCUGGACAUUAACUGACGCUGAGGCACGAAGGCCAGGGGAGCGAAAGGGAUUAGAUACCCGUGUAGUC